AUACUUAUCUGGCAGGGGAGAUACCAUAAUCAUGAAGGCAGUUUUCCCAGGGCAAGACUUAUCCAUCACACUCUGGAUAUGCUGACCUCUGCUAUUUCAAAUGUGGGAGAUUCGACUGCAUAAUUUGUGGUAGUGGGAGACUGCAUUCACAUUCUCCCC
Small nuclear RNA from Artibeus jamaicensis (Jamaican fruit-eating bat), 159 nucleotides. RefSeq annotates it as U1 spliceosomal RNA. The record is from RefSeq and is a predicted model, not a curated record. Lineage: Eukaryota; Metazoa; Chordata; Mammalia; Chiroptera; Phyllostomidae. The transcript has a single exon.